This 546-nucleotide ribosomal RNA is filed under the name Meyerozyma guilliermondii. RNAcentral describes it as "eukaryotic LSU rRNA". It matches the Rfam family "Eukaryotic large subunit ribosomal RNA", at positions 86 to 648 of the family's 3401-position model. The record is from RNAcentral. Lineage: Eukaryota; Fungi; Ascomycota; Pichiomycetes; Serinales; Debaryomycetaceae.
GCGGCGAGUGAAGCGGCAAAAGCUCAAAUUUGAAAUCUGGCGCCUUCGGUGUCCGAGUUGUAAUUUGAAGAUUGUAACCUUGGGGUUGGCUCUUGUCUAUGUUUCUUGGAACAGGACGUCACAGAGGGUGAGAAUCCCGUGCGAUGAGAUGCCCAAUUCUAUGUAAGGUGCUUUCGAAGAGUCGAGUUGUUUGGGAAUGCAGCUCUAAGUGGGUGGUAAAUUCCAUCUAAAGCUAAAUAUUGGCGAGAGACCGAUAGCGAACAAGUACAGUGAUGGAAAGAUGAAAAGAACUUUGAAAAGAGAGUGAAAAAGUACGUGAAAUUGUUGAAAGGGAAGGGUUUGAGAUCAGACUCGAUAUUUUGUGAGCCUUGCCUUCGUGGCGGGGUGACCCGCAGCUUAUCGGGCCAGCAUCGGUUUGGGCGGUAGGAUAAUGGCGUAGGAAUGUGACUUUACUUCGGUGAAGUGUUAUAGCCUGCGUUGAUGCUGCCUGCCUAGACCGAGGACUGCGAUUUUAUCAAGGAUGCUGGCAUAAUGAUCCCAAACCGC